CAGCUCUAAGUGGGUGGUAAAUUCCAUCUAAAGCUAAAUAUUGGCGAGAGACCGAUAGCGAACAAGUACAGUGAUGGAAAGAUGAAAAGAACUUUGAAAAGAGAGUGAAAAAGUACGUGAAAUUGUUGAAAGGGAAGGGUUUGAGAUCAGACUCGAUAUUUUGUGAGCCUUGCCUUCGUGGCGGGGUGACCCGCAGCUUAUCGGGCCAGCAUCGGUUUGGGCGGUAGGAUAAUGGCGUAGGAAUGUGACUUUACUUCGGUGAAGUGUUAUAGCCUGCGUUGAUGCUGCCUGCCUAGACCGAGGACUGCGAUUUUAUCAAGGAUGCUGGCAUAAUGAUCCCAAACCGC
This 347-nucleotide ribosomal RNA is filed under the name uncultured Saccharomycetes. Its description in RNAcentral is "eukaryotic LSU rRNA". It matches the Rfam family "Eukaryotic large subunit ribosomal RNA", at positions 283 to 648 of the family's 3401-position model. The record is from RNAcentral. Lineage: Eukaryota; Fungi; Ascomycota; Saccharomycetes.